RNAcentral lists this ribosomal RNA (465 nucleotides) under uncultured bacterium. RNAcentral's name for it is "partial 16S ribosomal RNA". It matches the Rfam family "Bacterial small subunit ribosomal RNA", at positions 338 to 795 of the family's 1533-position model. The record is from RNAcentral.
CCUACGGGAGGCAGCAGUAGGGAAUCUUCCACAAUGGGCGAAAGCCUGAUGGAGCAACGCCGCGUGGGUGAAGAAGGUCUUCGGAUCGUAAAACUCUGUUGUUAGAGAAGAAAGUGCGUGAGAGUAACUGUGAACGUUUCGACGGUAUCUAACCAGAAAGCCACGGUUAACUACGUGCCAGCAGCCGCGGUAAUACGUAGGGGGCAAGCGUUAUCCGGAUUUAUUGGGCGUAAAGGGAACGCAGGCGGUCUUUUAAGGCUGAUGUGAAAGCCUUCGGCUUAACCGGAGUAGUGCAUUGGAAACUGGGAGACUUGAGUGCAGAAGAGGAGAGUGGAACUCCAUGUGUAGCGGUGAAAUGCGUAGAUAUAUGGAAGAACACCAGUGGCGAAAGCGGCUCUCUGGUCUGUAACUGACGCUGAGGUUCGAAAGCGUGGGUAGCAAACAGGAUUAGAUACCCGUGUAGUC